UUAAGUUAUUAAGGGCGCACGGUGGAUGCCUUGGCACUAGAAGCCGAUGAAGGACGUUACUAACGACGAUAUGCUUUGGGGAGCUGUAAGUAAGCUUUGAUCCAGAGAUUUCCGAAUGGGGAAACCCAGCAUGAGUUAUGUCAUGUUAUCGAUAUGUGAAUACAUAGCAUAUCAGAAGGCACACCCGGAGAACUGAAACAUCUUAGUACCCGGAGGAAGAGAAAGAAAAUUCGAUUCCCUUAGUAGCGGCGAGCGAAACGGGAAGAGCCCAAACCAAAAAGCUUGCUUGUUGGGGUUGUAGGACACUCUAUACGGAGUUACAAAGGACGACAUUAGACGAAUCAUCUGGAAAGAUGAAUCAAAGAAGGUAAUAAUCCUGUAGUCGAAAAUGUUGUCUCUCUUGAGUGGAUCCUGAGUACGACGGAGCACGUGAAAUUCCGUCGGAAUCUGGGAGGACCAUCUCCUAAGGCUAAAUACUCUCUAGUGACCGAUAGUGAACCAGUACCGUGAGGGAAAGGUGAAAAGCACCCCGGAAGGGGAGUGAAAUAGAACCUGAAACCGUGUGCUUACAAGUAGUCAGAGCCCGUUAAUGGGUGAUGGCGUGCCUUUUGUAGAAUGAACCGGCGAGUUACGAUUUGAUGCAAGGUUAAGCAGUAAAUGUGGAGCCGUAGCGAAAGCGAGUCUGAAUAGGGCGUUUAGUAUUUGGUCGUAGACCCGAAACCAGGUGAUCUACCCUUGGUCAGGUUGAAGUUCAGGUAACACUGAAUGGAGGACCGAACCGACUUACGUUGAAAAGUGAGCGGAUGAACUGAGGGUAGCGGAGAAAUUCCAAUCGAACCUGGAGAUAGCUGGUUCUCUCCGAAAUAGCUUUAGGGCUAGCCUCAAGUGAUGAUUAUUGGAGGUAGAGCACUGUUUGGACGAGGGGCCCCUCUCGGGUUACCGAAUUCAGACAAACUCCGAAUGCCAAUUAAUUUAACUUGGGAGUCAGAACAUGGGUGAUAAGGUCCGUGUUCGAAAGGGAAACAGCCCAGACCACCAGCUAAGGUCCCAAAAUAUAUGUUAAGUGGAAAAGGAUGUGGCGUUGCCCAGACAACUAGGAUGUUGGCUUAGAAGCAGCCAUCAUUUAAAGAGUGCGUAAUAGCUCACUAGUCGAGUGACACUGCGCCGAAAAUGUACCGGGGCUAAACAUAUUACCGAAGCUGUGGAUUGUCCUUUGGACAAUGGUAGGAGAGCGUUCUAAGGGCGUUGAAGCAUGAUCGUAAGGACAUGUGGAGCGCUUAGAAGUGAGAAUGCCGGUGUGAGUAGCGAAAGACGGGUGAGAAUCCCGUCCACCGAUUGACUAAGGUUUCCAGAGGAAGGCUCGUCCGCUCUGGGUUAGUCGGGUCCUAAGCUGAGGCCGACAGGCGUAGGCGAUGGAUAACAGGUUGAUAUUCCUGUACCACCUAUAAUCGUUUUAAUCGAUGGGGGGACGCAGUAGGAUAGGCGAAGCGUGCGAUUGGAUUGCACGUCUAAGCAGUAAGGCUGAGUAUUAGGCAAAUCCGGUACUCGUUAAGGCUGAGCUGUGAUGGGGAGAAGACAUUGAGUCUUCGAGUCGUUGAUUUCACACUGCCGAGAAAAGCCUCUAGAUAGAAAAUAGGUGCCCGUACCGCAAACCGACACAGGUAGUCAAGAUGAGAAUUCUAAGGUGAGCGAGCGAACUCUCGUUAAGGAACUCGGCAAAAUGACCCCGUAACUUCGGGAGAAGGGGUGCUCUUUAGGGUUAACGCCCAGAAGAGCCGCAGUGAAUAGGCCCAAGCGACUGUUUAUCAAAAACACAGGUCUCUGCUAAACCGUAAGGUGAUGUAUAGGGGCUGACGCCUGCCCGGUGCUGGAAGGUUAAGAGGAGUGGUUAGCUUCUGCGAAGCUACGAAUCGAAGCCCCAGUAAACGGCGGCCGUAACUAUAACGGUCCUAAGGUAGCGAAAUUCCUUGUCGGGUAAGUUCCGACCCGCACGAAAGGCGUAACGAUUUGGGCACUGUCUCAACGAGAGACUCGGUGAAAUCAUAGUACCUGUGAAGAUGCAGGUUACCCGCGACAGGACGGAAAGACCCCGUGGAGCUUUACUGUAGCCUGAUAUUGAAAUUCGGCACAGCUUGUACAGGAUAGGUAGGAGCCUUUGAAACGUGAGCGCUAGCUUACGUGGAGGCGCUGGUGGGAUACUACCCUAGCUGUGUUGGCUUUCUAACCCGCACCACUUAUCGUGGUGGGAGACAGUGUCAAGCGGGCAGUUUGACUGGGGCGGUCGCCUCCUAAAAGGUAACGGAGGCGCUCAAAGGUUCCCUCAGAAUGGUUGGAAAUCAUUCAUAGAGUGUAAAGGCAUAAGGGAGCUUGACUGCGAGACCUACAAGUCGAGCAGGGUCGAAAGACGGACUUAGUGAUCCGGUGGUUCCGCAUGGAAGGGCCAUCGCUCAACGGAUAAAAGCUACCCCGGGGAUAACAGGCUUAUCUCCCCCAAGAGUUCACAUCGACGGGGAGGUUUGGCACCUCGAUGUCGGCUCAUCGCAUCCUGGGGCUGUAGUCGGUCCCAAGGGUUGGGCUGUUCGCCCAUUAAAGCGGUACGCGAGCUGGGUUCAGAACGUCGUGAGACAGUUCGGUCCCUAUCCGUCGUGGGCGUAGGAAAUUUGAGAGGAGCUGUCCUUAGUACGAGAGGACCGGGAUGGACAUACCUCUGGUGUACCAGUUGUCGUGCCAACGGCAUAGCUGGGUAGCUAUGUGUGGACGGGAUAAGUGCUGAAAGCAUCUAAGCAUGAAGCCCCCUCAAGAUGAGAUUUCCCAACUUCGGUUAUAAGAUCCCUCAAAGAUGAUGAGGUUAAUAGGUUCGAGGUGGAAGCAUGGUGACAUGUGGAGCUGACGAAUACUAAUCGAUCGAAGACUUAAUCAA
Molecule: ribosomal RNA, 2920 nt
Filed under: Staphylococcus aureus
Lineage: Bacteria; Bacillati; Bacillota; Bacilli; Caryophanales; Staphylococcaceae
Description: bacterial LSU rRNA
Rfam family: Bacterial large subunit ribosomal RNA
Source: RNAcentral